CGCAGCUCAGAGGGGGGUGUUUCAUUUCCACUCGAGGCAUCGGAUGGAGCCUGGGACUAAAGCGGGCUGGCCUCCCACUGUGGGACGGCAGUAGACGGGUCAACGCACCGCAGACAUGGAGCUCCGCAGGAGCCGCAGUUCAACAGCGGCAGCAGCUACCAGAUGGGUCUUUGAAGGGCACAGUGUGUGUGAUGCUACCGACGUCAGGCCCUCCAGGAGAGGAGAGAUGCCACACUGUGUUAGUGUGACAUUCAGAGAGAAGCUUGUGCGUCUGACAGGGAGGGAAUACAUCCGAAAAUAAACCAACACUCUGCAGCAUCUGCGAGGCAGAUCCUCCAGGGCUGCAGCCAGGUGCCCUCUAAGAAAGAACAGUGUGCGUGCAAUGAAAGCUUAAAAUGUUAUGUGUGCGUAUGUGUGUGUGUGUGUGUGUGUGUGAGAAUAAAAGGGUGCAAAUGCAUGUGUGUGCACAGAUGCAUUCAUGCAUUUCACACAAGUGAGCUGCACCUGCAGAAGCUGUUUGGGAUCCUAUAAACAAUUAACGUGCACGGCUGUGAGUUGCUGUGACCUUACUCUGCUUGAUAAGUUUAUCAAAUAAUUACAUCUGUCUUUUUGAACCACUCAUUUUCAGCCUCUGCAUCAUUAUAUGGUUAGAGAUUGUAAAGAUCAGAUAUGUAAGUGAUAGUUAUUCCUGUAAUUAGGGGUAUAACAUAAGCUUGGAGCACUGCGCCAAGCACAAUAAAUACCUUUGUUGAAUAUAUCUGCUUAUAGAUAUUUAAAGGAGCUUGUGCUCUUUUAAUCGCUGUUGCACAUAAAACUCUUUGGCAGGCUUUCACAGACGCACAUUUGUUGAUUGUUUUGGCCUAUUUGGACAAAGAGGAUGUCAAGAUGAAUGUUAUUUUUCAAAUUGAUCUGACAUCAAGUUAGCAGGUCAAUCACAAGAGUCCUGAACUGUGUAAUAAAACAUUUCUUUUUCG
This is a long non-coding RNA of Sebastes umbrosus (honeycomb rockfish), 974 nucleotides long. RefSeq lists it as uncharacterized. Lineage: Eukaryota; Metazoa; Chordata; Actinopteri; Perciformes; Sebastidae. The record is from RefSeq and is a predicted model, not a curated record. The transcript is spliced from 3 exons.